This 497-nucleotide ribosomal RNA is filed under the name uncultured bacterium. RNAcentral's name for it is "partial 16S ribosomal RNA". It matches the Rfam family "Bacterial small subunit ribosomal RNA", at positions 28 to 507 of the family's 1533-position model. The record is from RNAcentral.
GACGAACGCUGGCGGCGCGCCUAAUACAUGCAAGUUGAGCGCUGAAGGUUGGUACUUGUACCGACUGGAUGAGCAGCGAACGGGUGAGUAACGCGUGGGGAAUCUGCCUUUGAGCGGGGGACAACAUUUGGAAACGAAUGCUAAUACCGCAUAAAAACUUUAAACACAAGUUUUAAGUUUGAAAGAUGCAAUUGCAUCACUCAAAGAUGAUCCCGCGUUGUAUUAGCUAGUUGGUGAGGUAAAGGCUCACCAAGGCGAUGAUACAUAGCCGACCUGAGAGGGUGAUCGGCCACAUUGGGACUGAGGCACGGCCCAAACUCCUACGGGAGGCAGCAGUAGGGAAUCUUCGGCAAUGGACGAAAGUCUGACCGAGCAACGCCGCGUGAGUGAAGAAGGUUUUCGGAUCGUAAAACUCUGUUGGUAGAGAAGAACGUUGGUGAGAGUGGAAAGCUCAUCAAGUGACGGUAACUACCCAGAAAGGGACGGCUAACUACGUG